UGGGGAAUAUUGCACAAUGGGCGCAAGCCUGAUGCAGCGACGCCGCGUGAGGGAUGACGGCCUUCGGGUUGUAAACCUCUUUCAAUAGGGACGAAGCGCAAGUGACGGUACCUAUAGAAGAAGGACCGGCCAACUACGUGCCAGCAGCCGCGGUAAUACGUAGGGUCCGAGCGUUGUCCGGAAUUACUGGGCGUAAAGAGCUCGUAGGUGGUUUGUCGCGUUGUUCGUGAAAACUCACAGCUUAACUGUGGGCGUGCGGGCGAUACGGGCAGACUAGAGUACUGCAGGGGAGACUGGAAUUCCUGGUGUAGCGGUGGAAUGCGCAGAUAUCAGGAGGAACACCGGUGGCGAAGGCGGGUCUCUGGGCAGUAACUGACGCUGAGGAGCGAAAGCGUGGGGAGCGAACAGGAUUAGAUACCCUGGUAGUCCACGCCGUAAACGGUGGGUACUAGGUGUGGGGUUUCCUUCCUUGGGAUCCGUGCCGUAGCUAACGCAUUAAGUACCCCGCCUGGGGAGUACGGCCGCAAGGCUAAAA
This 535-nucleotide ribosomal RNA is filed under the name uncultured bacterium. RNAcentral describes it as "partial 16S ribosomal RNA". It matches the Rfam family "Bacterial small subunit ribosomal RNA", at positions 355 to 899 of the family's 1533-position model. The record is from RNAcentral.